UUAAAUUGAAGAGUUUGAUCAUGGCUCAGAUUGAACGCUGGCGGCAGGCCUAACACAUGCAAGUCGAACGGUAACAGGAAGCAGCUUGCUGUUUUGCUGACGAGUGGCGGACGGGUGAGUAAUGUCUGGGAAACUGCCUGAUGGAGGGGGAUAACUACUGGAAACGGUAGCUAAUACCGCAUAACGUCGCAAGA
Molecule: ribosomal RNA, 194 nt
Filed under: Escherichia coli
Lineage: Bacteria; Pseudomonadati; Pseudomonadota; Gammaproteobacteria; Enterobacterales; Enterobacteriaceae
Description: partial 16S ribosomal RNA
Rfam family: Bacterial small subunit ribosomal RNA
Source: RNAcentral